This 452-nucleotide ribosomal RNA is filed under the name uncultured bacterium. Its description in RNAcentral is "bacterial SSU rRNA". It matches the Rfam family "Bacterial small subunit ribosomal RNA", at positions 29 to 506 of the family's 1533-position model. The record is from RNAcentral.
ACGAACGCUGGCGGCAUGGAUUAGGCAUGCAAGUCGAACGCUUGUAGCAAUACAGGAGUGGCGAAAGGGUGAGUAACGCGUUGGUGACCUGCCCCGAAGAGAGGGAUAGCAGUUCGAAAGGACUGAUAAUACCUCAUGUGGUUGUUGGUUUUAGAAUCUGACAACUAAAUGGAUUUAUUCGCUUCGGGAGGGGCCUGCGUCCCAUCAGCUAGUUGGUAGGGUAAUGGCCUACCAAGGCGAUGACGGGUAGGGGACCUGAGAGGGUGGCCCCCCACAAUGGAACUGAAACACGGUCCAUACACCUACGGGUGGCAGCAGUAGGGAAUAUCGGUAAUGUGCGAAAGCGCGAACCAGCAACGCCGCGUGCACGAUGAAGGCCUUCGGGUCGUAAAGUGCUUUUAGAGAGGAUGAGGAAGGACAGUACUUUCUGAAUAAGCCUCGGCUAACUACGU